GACGAACGCUGGCGGCGUGCCUAACACAUGCAAGUCGAGCGAAUGAAGUUCCUUCGGGAAUGGAUUUAGCGGCGGACGGGUGAGUAACACGUGGGCAACCUGCCUCAUAGAGGGGAAUAGCCUUCCGAAAGGGAGAUUAAUACCGCAUAAGAUUGUAGUAUCGCAUGAUACAGCAAUUAAAGGAGCAAUCCGCUAUGAGAUGGGCCCGCGGCGCAUUAGCUAGUUGGUGAGGUAACGGCUCACCAAGGCGACGAUGCGUAGCCGACCUGAGAGGGUGAUCGGCCACAGUGGGACUGAGACACGGCCCAGACUCCUACGGGAGGCAGCAGUGGGGAAUAUUGCACAAUGGGGGAAACCCUGAUGCAGCAACGCCGCGUGAGUGAUGACGGCCUUCGGGUUGUAAAGCUCUGUCUUCAGGGACGAUAAUGACGGUACCUGAGGAGGAAGCCACGGCUAGCUACGUG
RNAcentral lists this ribosomal RNA (464 nucleotides) under uncultured bacterium. RNAcentral describes it as "partial 16S ribosomal RNA". It matches the Rfam family "Bacterial small subunit ribosomal RNA", at positions 28 to 507 of the family's 1533-position model. The record is from RNAcentral.